UAAGCAUAUCACUAAGCGGAGGAAAAGAAACUAACCAGGAUUCCUUAGUAACGGCGAGCGAACCGGAAAGAGCCCAGCUUGAAAAUUGCGAGGCUCACGCCGCGCGAAUUGUAGUCUGGAGAAGCGUCCUCCGCAGCGGACCGAGCCCAAGUUCCCUGGAACGGGACGUCGGAGAGGGUGAGAGCCCCGUCGAGCUCGGACCCUGCUGCUCCACGAGGCGCUGUCGGCGAGUCGGGCUGUUUGGGAAUGCAGCCCUAAGCGGGUGGUAAAUUCCAUCCAAGGCUAAAUACGGGCAAGAGACCGAUAGCGAACAAGUACCGCGAGGGAAAGAUGAAAAGGACUUUGAAAAGAGAGUCAAAAAGUGCUUGAAAUUGCUGGGAGGGAAGCGAAUGGAGGCCCCGGGUGCGCCCCGGUUGUUUGCGGAACGGCGAGAGCUGGUCCGCCGCUCAACGCGGGGCGCUGGUCAGCGUGGGCUGCCGCGGCGGGACAAAGAGCGGGCUUCUUCGCCCGCCCAUGCCGUUGCGGCGGCCGAGGAACCGAAGCGCGCGCCGCUUCGUCGGCGGGCUCCCUCGGGAGCACCUGCGCGCUCGGGACGCUGGCGCACUGGGCUUUCCAUCCGACCCGUCUUGAAACACGGACCAAGGAGUCUAACAUGUAUGCGAGCCGGUGGGUGGCAAACCCACGAGGCGCAAGGAAACUGACAGGUGGGAUCCGUUCUCGGAGCACCAUCGACCGACCGUGAUCUUCUGUGAAAGGUUCGAGUGCGAGCAUACCUGCUGGGACCCGAAAGAUGGUGAACUAUGCCUGAGCAGGGCGAAGCCAGAGGAAACUCUGGUGGAGGCUCGUAGCGAUACUGACGUGCAAAUCGUUCGUCAGACUUGGGUAUAGGGGCGAAAGACUAAUCGAACCAUCUAGUAGCUGGUUCCCUCCGAAGUUUCCCUCAGGAUAGCUGGAGCUCGUGACUAGUUUUAUCAGGUAAAGCGAAUGAUUAGAGGCAUCGGGGGUGAAACACCCUCGACCUAUUCUCAAACUUUAAAUAGGUAAGCGGCCGGGGUUGCUCGGUUGAACCCCGGCACGGAAUGGGAGCUCCAAGUGGGCCAUUU
This 1103-nucleotide ribosomal RNA is filed under the name Haplomitrium gibbsiae. RNAcentral describes it as "eukaryotic LSU rRNA". It matches the Rfam family "Eukaryotic large subunit ribosomal RNA", at positions 35 to 1136 of the family's 3401-position model. Lineage: Eukaryota; Viridiplantae; Streptophyta; Haplomitriopsida; Calobryales; Haplomitriaceae. The record is from RNAcentral.